Molecule: ribosomal RNA, 253 nt
Filed under: uncultured bacterium
Lineage: Bacteria
Description: partial 16S ribosomal RNA
Rfam family: Bacterial small subunit ribosomal RNA
Source: RNAcentral
UACAGAGGUUGCGAGCGUUAAUCGGAAUCACUGGGCGUAAAGCGCUCGUAGGCUGUUACUUAAGUCAGAUGUGAAAUCCCUGGGCUCAAUCCAGGACGUGCAUCUGAUACUGAUUGGCUAGAGUGCAGGAGAGGAAAGCGGAAUUCCAGGUGUAGAGGUGAAAUUCGUAGAUAUCUGGAGGAACAACAGAGGCGAAGGCGGCUUUCUGGACUGUCACUGACGCUGAUGAGCGAAAGCGUGGGGAGCAAACAGG